Molecule: unclassified non-coding RNA, 5471 nt
Filed under: Dermacentor andersoni
Lineage: Eukaryota; Metazoa; Arthropoda; Arachnida; Ixodida; Ixodidae
Description: uncharacterized LOC126543002
Source: RNAcentral
GUGGAUGUCAAGAAAUUGAUGAAAUGCGACGUAUGUGGCACUUCCCUGCCUACAAUGGAGAAGUAUUCGGUGCACCAGAUCGCUGCGCACAACUUCGAGGCUGACUACGUGCACUUGGUGUUCCGGAACAAUAAGGAAUUUCAUGAAUGGAAAGCAGAAGAAGAGGGUAGCCAAAACUGCUGGCUCAUUUUGCCCAGGGACCCCAAAAAGCUGGCUAGUGGAGAGACAAGGAUCCACUAUUACUGUAAUAGAUCAGGUGAGGCAAGGAAAAAGGAAGGUCAUAGUGACCGUCGGGAGAAAAGUCAGGGGAGCUGUAGGGCUGGUAAGAUAUGUCUUUCAUUUAUUACCGUCACAAUGGACAACACUCAGAGUCCGACACCUGAAGGCAUCACCAUAAAAGUCAGGUAUAAAAGAAACUAUUACGGUCAUAAACCAGAAAUUCAGCACUUGAGAAUGAGUGACAAGGAAAAGGCCAGCGUAGCAGAGAACCUAGAAAGGGGUGUGCCCAUGAAAACAAUUCUAAAGCGAAUAAGAACAUCUGUGGCAUCCAAGCUGAGGCCAGUGCACUUGGCAGAGUGCUCAACCCUGCAUAACAUCAAACAGCAGUUUAACAUUGCUGCUCCUGAACAUUGUCACACUAAUGACGCUAUCAGUGUAGACACAUGGGUGCUUGUGAUGAAAGAAAAAGGUUAAACACUUGUCCGCCUAUACAAGGCACAAGGUGCAGUGGACCCAAGUGGUACAUUUCCUUCAGCGGACUUUGCUCUUGUUCUGAUGACAGAGCCUCAGAAGGAGCUACUAGAAAAAUUGGGCUCUGCAGGGACUGUAUGUCUUGACUCCACACAUGGAACUACAGAGUACCAGUUUGAGCUGACCACUCUUCUGGUGCUAGAUAAAGUAGGAUCAGGUGUAGCUAUAGCUUAUUUCAUCUGCAACCGGAUGAACGAGCAAACUUUGACAGCAUUCUUCAAAUAUCUGGAGUCGGCCAUGGCCAAAAAAGUGGCCGCUAAGACAUUGAUAUCUGAUGAUGCGUCGCAAUUCUACAAAGCAUGGUCCAUGGUCAUGGGCGCCGCAAAACAGAAACUUCUCUGUGCCUGGCAUGUGGAUAACAAUUGGCGUAAGAAGAUACUCGAAUGAGUAGAGAAACAGCUAAGGCCACAUGUUUACCAUAGUGUGUGGCUACUCUUAGAGUUCCUCGCGGAAAAGGCAUUUGAAGAUUAUUUUAAGCAAUUCCUUUCUAGCGAGGAAGAAAAACUGAGGGACUUCCUGAAGUACUUCAAUGACCACUAUGCAGUUAGGCCGCAAGAGUGGGCCUAUUGCUUUAGGACUAGAGCAGCUGUCAACACUAACAUGCACCUCGAGAGCAAGCACAGGACGUUAAAGCAUACUAUGCUGGAGAGAAAACAGAAUAAGCAUGGUGACAAACUAAUUUCUGCCCUCAUGGACUUGACAAAUCAUUUUUUAAUGAAAAGGGCUAUCCAGAUGAUGAAAGGGGCAAAGGGUAAGAAGCUGAGCAGAAUUCAGAAGAACCACAGGUCUGGCAGUGAAAUGGCAGCUUGUGCCAAAUUAAAUGAAGACGGCAUAUGGACUGUGCCAUCUCAGUCUAUUAAAGGGCUCUCAUAUAAAGUGUCAAAAGUGGGAGAUGGUGCUUGCUGUCCUUUGAGGUGCAAGGAAUGCGCAGUGUGUGUGCAUACUUACAUGUGCACUUGCUAUGACCAUCUUAUACACUUUACAGUGUGCAAGCACAUUCACUGUGUGGUCAUCGCUAAUACAACUAGCAGCAACAAGGCCCAUGAGAGCUCACCCGAAGAAGCAUGUGAGGCAAGUCAGGCAUUGCACAUUGUACAGAGUAUAACAAAGCUGGAAGCAGCCAAAGCAGUGUCAAGCUCAGCACUCUUAAGAGCAAAAAUGGACUCAGUCAGACAGGCAAUAUCAGAUGGUGAAGUCUCUGAGGGUGUGGCUGAGAAGGCAAACAAUUUGUUUGAGCCAGUUUUCAUGCUUGUUGAAAGUGAAAGUGACCCAAAAGGAAAGAUGCCAGACCAUUCAAAUGAACCAGCCAACAAAAAAGUUGUGCACCUGUUAAGAUUUCACUCUACAAAAAACCCUAGAUUGUCGCAGCCAUCAUCUAGCCUUUCAAGGCCCACUGAAGCUCAAAAGGAAGUCCUUAAAUAACAGCUUAGGGACAGCAACAUAGAAACUGAAGAGAUAACCACAUCAGCAGGGCACGAUUACUGGUAACAAUUAGCCUCCAGUGCAGUUAGGAAGAGAGAAGUGGUGCAGUAGUGCUGUGCUGUCAUGCCUUAUUGAAGCAGGUUGAGGGCUCGCAUGUUAACAAAUCAUGACAUGUGGUCUCUGAUGAUUAGCCCGUCUGUUUUUGUCUGUGGUGUGCAGCCAUAUGUCACAGCUGGAUGGUAUGUGUGUUAGAGCACGAGAGAUGCCUCCAUGCUUGUUGUAUGAGCUGCUGGUAAGUGUUCUGUGAAAAUAGGUACAGACCCAGUGGUCAUCUCUGGUAUGUGGCAGCUGUUGGAUGGUAGUGUGUUAGAGCACGCCUCCAUGCUUGUCAUAUGAGCCGCUGGUAAGUAUGUCUGUACAUAGAUGUAAGGAAGUGCAUUGGAUGGUGUGUAGUGUUUCAGUGUGCAAAAGCCUCCAAUGUGUUUUGCUACUUAUAAAUUUGUGUAAACACUCAGUAGCGCAGUAGUUAUGAUGUUGCACUGCUGAGCUCGAGCUUGCGGGUUCAAUCCCAGCAAAGGUGGCUGCAUUUCAGUGGUGGUGAAAUGAAAAAAAAAAGCGUGUAGUUGAAUUUAAGUGCACAUCACAAAACCCAAGGUGGUCAAAAAUAAUACUGAGUCCCGCACUGUGGCAUGCCUCAUAAUUCGAUCUAGAUUUUGUGUUCCAUGUGAUGUUCUUAUUGCCCAUUUGAAUAAACUUUUAUUUUUCAGAUUACCAAAAUAGAGGGCAUAUGCAGUGGUAUUGUGUGCAGUCUGGAUAAGUUGCUCUGGUCAUGAGCACUCAAUUAAAUCUUCUGCAUAUUUGGCUGCAGCAGACAGUGUCAUAAUGAUUGUAAAGACUAUGCAGAAAGCUUUAGGCCACUCUACAUAUCAGAUCAGUUUUAUAUUGCCUCCCUUGUGGUGCAUCUCUUACUUGAGUAGGCAUAAUAACAAUUGGCAAUGCUUCCCUACACAUUUAAUAUUUUUCUUUUUUUCUUUUGGAAGAGUAACCUUGGAAGAAUAAUCUACAACAGUGCUCCUACCUUCUCUUUCACUGUCUCCCCAUUUCUUUUCUACACUUCAACUUCAUUCUACGCACUAUCUUAUUCUCCUCUUCAUCCUACAUUGAGGGUGUGGGAAAGUGAGCUAAGCGUGCAUAAAGAUUGCUGUGCUGAACUUAAUUGUGGCACUGACGAAGACAAAUCUUUGUCAAAAGGUUCACUCCAGCUACAUUCCCCCUCCAAGCACUGUUUAUCACUUCAAGCCUUCAUAUUCCUGUGAGCUUUUGUCUUGUUUACAGUUGUAACAGUCAUACUAUUUAUUACUAUCAAUAGCCAGCAUACAUUUAGCACUGCAAAGGGCUGUUUAGAAGACGUGCGAGUUUCUACUUCCCUUAUGAUAAAUACUCCAGACAUUCAGUCUCUAUUUUAUGAAAAUCGUUCAAACAUUGCCAGUGAUGACCACCAUAUGGGUUAAUGUCGGCUUGGGACUGAGGCUUUCCCGCAAAAAGAACAGUUAUGUUUUGCUCAUAUCAUGUGACUGGCAGUUUCUGCUGUAAUUUUUGCACUUGUCAACUGCACUGUGAAGAGUUAAGUUCUGUGAAUAUGUGCUGGCCUGAUUCUUCUUGUUCACGCAUUCCAGAUCUUGUGCUAUGAGAUGAGGAGGUGUAAAAUAAAAACACCGUGUAGAUUUCACAAUGCCUUUAAGAAACCACGCAAAGCUUGGAGAUGAAGCAUUACAUGCAACUUGAACCAAGUGUCUGGACACAGCGAGUGAAAGUUGUUUGGUCAUGAGCGAGGGUGUCGGUGUUACUUGUAACUACCUUUAAAUAAAAGUUUGUUUAAAAACAGUGGCUCAACUCUGUGUUCCCCCCAGUAAAAAACAAAACCAUUGGGAUUUUCAUGAGUGAGGGUGUCGGUGUUACUUGUACCUACCUUUAAAUAAAAGUUUGUUUCAAAACAGGGGCUCAACUCUGUGUUCCCCCGGUAAAAAACAAAACCAUUGGGAUUUCCAAUUCGCUUUUUAAACAUAAUUGACCAAUUUGAAUAAAAAAAACUUGAUGAAUCAAGAUAUAAGCUUGCCAUACCAUGGAAACACUUGAAACUCCUUUUGAGAAGCUUACUCGUACACGAACACACUAUAGCAAUUAUUUUCAAUCGUAUACCCACAAUUUGCCGCGUCACCACGUCAAGUUUCAAGGCAGAUUUUUUUUAGACUCCAGGAAGCUAUAUGCCUAAUUCUAUCCAUUGUUUACUGCAUUGCAUUUGAUUUUCUAUAACAAAUAAAAUUGAAUUCUCCAUUGAUUGCGCGGACGCUCACGUUAUAAUUAUAUGCUAUUAUUAUUGACUAGUCAUAUAUUUUCUUGGGGGGUGGGGGGCUGCACUGGUGGCGUUCUACGAAUUUGCGCCGCGUGUUUGUGCGGGUAAGCUUAAGCGCAGAAUUUUUUUUUGCGCGUUAUGAAAACAAUGCACGGCAGGUAUUUUAAUUAAUGCAACGAGCUGUAUGAAAUAUCGGUCAAGGGGUUGGAAACGUCGUUAUAGAGAAUCCCGACGAUUUUCUUUUGCGUGUGUGUAUUUGGAGUUGAUGCAGUUUUCUUUAUAUAUUUUGGCUACAUUGCGCCAAUUGCGCUUCCAUAGAAUAAAGAAACGCGCUUCCACGCGCUUGCCGACUCGAUUGCAAGGGGACAGCCUGAUCAACAUCAAUAUCAGCAGCAAUGGCGGAUUUGUGCUUGCCAUGGCGCUUGCAAAGUUUUCAAUAGUUUUCGCCUUUUAAGUGAUGCUUUUGCUAUUUUAACGUGUGGAGGUUCAUUGUACGUCUGUUUUUUCAAAUUUGGCAUGUGUUCUAACACAUGUGAAGGUGUAGCUUUUCUUCUUCAGCGGAUAUUUGUACAAGACCCUGUUCACCGUCUAUCAGCUCUAGCUCGGCAAGAAUAAAGCGGUUCCUUAGAAGUGGUGGAGGUGCUGUGGUUCUGCAUACCAAGGACAUAUAAGGUAACAGUGUUUGUGCCUUUAAUAUGUCGCAUUCGAUCAUUUUGAGACGUGGUGGUGUUCAUGCGUUAGCACAGUGCGAGGACAUCCACAAUGUAAGAGGUACAUGAUUCUCGAAUUGUAUACUCUCUCCGGGCUUUUCUCGCGACCUCAGCACAAGUAGUGGGAGCACCAAAACACUGACAAAGCUGGUGCAUGAAUGUUGCCCAGUCAGAAAGAUCUGGCUCUUGGAUCAAAGCCAAUUUUUUUUUUACAUUGUAGAGGCAGACGGGCAUGC